UACGAACUGCGCAAACGUUAUUCGGAAUUACUGGGCUUAAAGAGUCCGUAGGCGGCUCGGUAGGUGAGGUGUGAAAUCCCACGGCUCAACCGUGGAAUUGCGCUUCAAACCGCCAAGCUGGAGGGAGAUAGAGGAGAGCGGAACUGAUGGUGGAGCGGUGAAAUGCGUUGAUAUCAUCAGGAACACCGGUGGCGAAAGCGGCUCUCUGGGUCUCUUCUGACGCUGAGGGACGAAAGCUAGGGGAGCGAACGGG
Molecule: ribosomal RNA, 253 nt
Filed under: uncultured bacterium
Lineage: Bacteria
Description: partial 16S ribosomal RNA
Rfam family: Bacterial small subunit ribosomal RNA
Source: RNAcentral